RNAcentral lists this ribosomal RNA (1095 nucleotides) under Triticum aestivum (bread wheat). RNAcentral's name for it is "partial small subunit ribosomal RNA". Lineage: Eukaryota; Viridiplantae; Streptophyta; Magnoliopsida; Poales; Poaceae. The record is from RNAcentral.
AUGCAAGGCGCACAAUCAAGAGUGCGAGAGCGCAUCGAGAACAUCUCCAUCGACAUUCGUCACUUCGAAGCAAGGAAAAGGGACUACAUCGACAAGAAGCUUUCCGCACAUAAAGAGGAGCAAGAUGCAACGAUGGAGGAGAUUAGAGCCUUGAUCAAGUCUUCUCGCCCUUCAUCAUCCUCAAGGCGGCGACAUUCAAGAAACAAGUCUUCGGAGCACGGAAACGAUGCAAGUGCAAAUCGUCCUCGUCCACAUCUACAUGGCGACCACCAUCACGUUCGUGAUCAACAUCGUCAUGAAGGGCAAGUCGCCUCCAAGAGUCAUAUGCACAAUGACGACGAACGACAUCUUCUACGAGCUCAAGCACGACACCGACAUCAUCAUCAUGAAGAUGCUCCACAAGCGCAAAUGCACAAGUCCCAACAAGCCCUACCUCACGCCAAGUCGACGCUUCAAGAGCAAAAGAGAAGACCGCGAGACGAGCACCACCAAGACAGAGAUACGGCUACAUCAACCACUUCAGCAUCUUCCCCAAGUGUUCUCAAGGCAUCUUCGCCUUUGGACGUACGGCAUCUUCGCCUACUUCCCAUGAGUUCGCCUACAUCGACAUCCUCAACAACAAGGCAACCACCUACAAGCGAGGGCGACACUUCCAUCUUCGGAAGCCCCCCAAGGAAGAUGGCCGAGCAUGGGAAACUCCCUUCGGUCAUGGAGACGAGCUACGAGGUGCCACAUCAUAUGGGCCUCCCACACCAAUACGGUGACAAGACGGUCGAGCAAGGGCCAUCCCCUUCGAAUACGGCGAUGAGCGCGAAGCUCUUCAACAACAUGAAGACGACGCCCAUAUUGGACUCAUACUCCGAGUCAAGCUACGCGACCGCACAAGGAGGCAUUUGCACCAACAUCUCUCCGAUACCCACAUAUGUUGAGAUGCCCCAAGUGCCAUGUGAGGAGAGCCACCACCACAUGAGUGACAUGCGUGACUCCACCAUAUGUGACAUUGAGAGCAUUUCGUAUGAGAGGAUGAGUGUGACCACCACUAGCCCCACACAUGAGAGCAUGCCACACAUCCUAUUGAGGUUGAGCGCCAUUUGA